CUCGUAGGCGGUUUGUCGCGUCUGCUGUGAAAACUGGAGGCUCAACCUCCAGCCUGCAGUGGGUACGGGCAAACUAGAGUGCGGUAGGGGAGAUUGGAAUUCCUGGUGUAGCGGUGGAAUGCGCAGAUAUCAGGAGGAACACCGAUGGCGAAGGCAGAUCUCUGGGCCGUAACUGACGCUGAGGAGCGAAAGCAUGGGGAGCGAACA
RNAcentral lists this ribosomal RNA (207 nucleotides) under uncultured bacterium. RNAcentral describes it as "partial 16S ribosomal RNA". It matches the Rfam family "Bacterial small subunit ribosomal RNA", at positions 568 to 774 of the family's 1533-position model. The record is from RNAcentral.